This is a non-coding RNA of Pelobates cultripes (western spadefoot toad), 717 nucleotides long. Lineage: Eukaryota; Metazoa; Chordata; Amphibia; Anura; Pelobatidae. The record is from the annotation of a GenBank genome assembly.
AUCCGCCCCUUUCUUACGCAAGAUGCGACCAAAGAGCUUGUCCAUGCUCUAGUAAUUUCCCGCAUGGAUUACUGUAACCCUCUCCUGAUUGGUCUCCCCAAAAGCCGUAUUGCCCCGCUACAGUCUGUAAUGAAUGCUGCAGUUAGACGGAUUUUCCUCUCUAGUCGGUCCUCUCACACAUCACCCCUCUGCCAGUCCCUACAUUGGCUCUUUGUAUCCUAUAGGAGUCAAUUCAAAGUGCUAACCCAUACAUUUAAAGCACUGAACAAUUCUAGCCCCUCAUAUCUCUUCAAUGAUCCAUAGGUAUGCCCCUCCUCGUUCCCUCCGCUCUGCCCGUGACCACCUCCUGACCGCUGCUCGCACCCGUACAGCCAACUCGCGCUUGCAGGACCUCUCGCGGGUGGCUCCUUUCCUAUGGAAUAGCCUGCCUACCGCCAUCAGACACUUCCCUAGUCUUCAAUCAUUUAAGAAGAGCCUUAAAACCCAUCUCUUCAGGAAAGCUUAUGGCCUCCCAGAGUAACCUCUACCUUACAUACCUGUCUCUUGCUCUCUCCUAUAGGGCACCACUUUACCCUCUCCUCCAGCUCUGCUUCACUCCCACCCUACUUGAUUGAUAUCUCCUGUCUUAACGUGUCUUAUACCCCACCUCCUAUAGACUGUAAGCUCGUUUGAGCAGGGUCCUCUUCAACCUACCGUUCCUGUAAGUUUUCUUGUAAU